RNAcentral lists this RNase MRP RNA (256 nucleotides) under Cicer arietinum (chickpea). RNAcentral's name for it is "RNase MRP". It matches the Rfam family "RNase MRP". From Rfam's summary of the family: RNase MRP is an enzymatically active ribonucleoprotein with two distinct roles in eukaryotes. The record is from Rfam by way of RNAcentral. Lineage: Eukaryota; Viridiplantae; Streptophyta; Magnoliopsida; Fabales; Fabaceae.
AUCGAUCGAGAUGAUGUGAAUGGGCCUUUGCUAUGCAGGGCUCAGGAAAGUCCCCGGACCCAAUCUGCAGAAAUGUAGGCCUGGCAAAACAGGUAAAUCUCUAAGUUGAAGCUGGGUUCACAUCUAGGUGGUGAGGGCUGAGACACGUGUGGGGAGCCUUUGCCAGUUACGCUAGAGAAUAUUGGUCAGUUGUUACAGUCAUUCACAUGGUCAUCAUAAUUUGACUUAACAGAACGGGGCUUACGUCUUUGGUCCA